RNAcentral lists this long non-coding RNA (1020 nucleotides) under Fragaria vesca (wild strawberry). Its description in RNAcentral is "long non-coding RNA (FVES_LNC004611)". Lineage: Eukaryota; Viridiplantae; Streptophyta; Magnoliopsida; Rosales; Rosaceae. The record is from RNAcentral.
GAGAGAGAGAGAGAGAGAGAGAGUGCAGGGUAUUUUAGACAUCAAAAAUAGAUUAAAAUCUGAAAGUUUGGCUAGUGGGAAUAAGCUUUUAGACAUUAUAGGGUUAGUGGGAAUUUCAGAUUCUUAUUUUGUUAGUGGGAAAAAAGUUUCUCAAAAACCGGGGGGAAAGGAAUUUCCCUAAAAUUUUUUACAGAUAUUUCUUUAAUAUAUCAGAGAUAUAUCAUAAAUAUCGGAGAUACAGUGGAAGAUAAAAUAUUUACUCUUGUAGAUAUAUUGGCCUUUCGGAAAAAGGAGAUAUCGGGUAGAGAUUUUAAUUCUUGAUUGUGCUUGCUUAACAACUCAUACACGACUUUCUUUAAAAAAAAAAAAAUGACAACUCAUACAAGAAUACAAUCAUAUUCACUUGGUCAGUUGACCAAGGGAUCCAUGGUCAAUAACCGUUAGAUGUAAAUGCAAAGGUUAUAUGGUAUUGUCUGUCCAUAUUAUGGACUUCUGUGUUAUUCCUAAUUACCAAGGCAUUGUCAUAGGAAAGCUAUUAGAGAUUUAGAGACUUUUUUUUNUUUUUUUUUUUUUGAAAACAAAGAUGGGCUUAUAACCUAUUGUAUUAAUAGUUGCAAGCUAGAAUGACACCGAUAUGGACCCUGAAGGUGAUAGAUUGGGAAGUAGAGAUAGUGCUAACCAUUUUUGUUGACAAUACAAGUGCAAGUAAAGUUGCGCGUAUUAUUACAUUAGGAUGAGGAGGACUGGUUUGAGAAAGUAGAAACCACAGGUUAUAGGGGGCAAGUACCUGCCCGCAUGUUAUUAGGAAUUUAGGUGUAGCCCACAUCCUGAACCUCAAUGUGAGAUCAAUACUUAAGACGAUGGAGAAAUCAAUUGCUUCCAUAAGGAAUGCAUUGAGUUGUGUGAGGAGUUCUUCAAUUAAGUUGGACACUUUUAAAAGCUAUGUUGAGAAGGAGAGGCUUGAGAGUAUCAGAGUAAAGGGGUGUUUUAGAGGUCCCGACAAGGUGGAACUAAAAAAAA